AGUAGAAUGACUGAGGUUAAAGGUGAUAGAUUGUAAAUCUAUUAAGGGGUUGUUACUCUUCUACUA
RNAcentral lists this transfer RNA (66 nucleotides) under Porotermes adamsoni (Australian dampwood termite). Its description in RNAcentral is "tRNA-Tyr". It matches the Rfam family "tRNA". Rfam says of the family: Transfer RNA (tRNA) molecules are approximately 80 nucleotides in length. Their secondary structure includes four short double-helical elements and three loops (D, anti-codon, and T loops). The record is from RNAcentral. Lineage: Eukaryota; Metazoa; Arthropoda; Insecta; Blattodea; Termopsidae.